Molecule: long non-coding RNA, 766 nt
Filed under: Lathyrus oleraceus (garden pea)
Lineage: Eukaryota; Viridiplantae; Streptophyta; Magnoliopsida; Fabales; Fabaceae
Description: Pisum sativum (pea) long non-coding RNA (PSAT_LNC001362)
Source: RNAcentral
AAAAAUCUCAUUUGAAUAAAUUAAAAAUAAUUAGAUAGUCAAUUUUGACCUAUUUUAAUUAAUUGAUUAUAUUUUCAAUACAUUUACUAAUCCUUUAUAGUUUCUAAAGUAAAAAAAAAGAGGAAAUAUCUUAGACAGAUGACUCCAAUAGCUGGAAAAUGAAUGAAAGAGAAAAAAGAAAAAUUGAAAGACUCCACUACUCACCUCACGUCUCUUGCCAAUCCAAAAAAGAUUCCUCUCACCUUUCCCACUCUCCUAAAAGCUGAUGGACGAAGCAUUAAAUAAGAGGAAAAUAAAAAUCCACAAAAAUAAACCCUUUCUCUCUGUCCACUCACUCACCCAUUAACUCUCACUCACACUCUCUUCUCUCUCUGGGUAGCGGAAGAAACAAAAGAAUAAGAAACAAAAAUCCCUCACCCACUAACAGUGAUUUCGCUCAGACUCUCACUCUCUCCAAGGAAAAAAAAAAGAAAUUCAUAACAAAAAGAAGGGGAAGAUGAACCACUGUUCAUCUUCUUGAGAAAUUAUUUUGCUUCUUUUUCGAAGCCACCACGUGAAAUCCCCUUUCCGUCUACCACACCCUCCGCCUCUCCGCCAUCACCUUCACCGUCCACUUUUCUCCAUCGACAACGCCACCGUGUGAAACACCAUCAUCACCGUUUUCAUUUACUCUACAACCACCAAAACCCACUCCGACCGUCGUGUCUUCAACGAAACCCACCGUGCGACCAACCCAAAACGCUCACUCUCCGCUGUUCAUCUUCUC